Molecule: ribosomal RNA, 372 nt
Filed under: uncultured organism
Description: bacterial SSU rRNA
Rfam family: Bacterial small subunit ribosomal RNA
Source: RNAcentral
CGUAGGUGGCAAGCGUUGUCCGGAGUUACUGGGUGUAAAGGGCGUGUAGGCGGGUGAUCAAGUCAGAUGUGAAAUUCCAUGGCUCAACUGUGGCGCUGCAUCUGAAACUGGUCAUCUUGAGUGAUGGAGAGGAAAGUGGAAUUCCUAGUGUAGCGGUGAAAUGCGUAGAUAUUAGGAGGAACACCAGUGGCGAAGGCGACUUUCUGGACAUUAACUGACGCUGAGGCGCGAAAGCGUGGGGAGCAAACAGGAUUAGAUACCCUGGUAGUCCACGCUGUAAACGAUGGAUACUAGGUGUAGGAGGUAUCGACCCCUUCUGUGCCGGAGUUAACACAAUAAGUAUCCCACCUGGGGAGUACGGCCGCAAGGUUG